CCUUGUGGUUGUCCCUGGCGAUGCAUGACGCGCACCGUGUAAUCGCACGAGUUUGUGACGUGCCAGAGGAAGCGUUCGACGUUAAUUUGAACAUUUUUCCUUGAUGAUAAUGAUGACACAAACCCGGAUAGAUCAGUUCUAUAAAGUUUCGAGUAGCGGCAAUAAAUCAGCAAAAGUGAAAAACAACAUCAAGAUGUCAUCCAGGAGUCCAGUGCUUGGUAAGACGAAAAGAGGACAAGCAUUGGAAAAAUCGAGAACUUCUAUAACGGCAAACACUGGCAAGGCAUCUCUUUCUAAGGCUAAUGUGAAUAAUAGCCCUAUGAAAAUUAUGGAAAAUAGAAUGUUAACAUCACCGACUGCUAAACACACUUCUCCUAUUAAAAGUCAACAACGUACUCCGGAGUCUCGUAGUGGCACAAAGUUCACGCCAAAGACGUCGUCACCAAUAAAAGAUGCACUAGACAGGUCACCAGAACGCGCCAAGAUGGUGCGAAGGAAAUUAUUUAAAGAGAGAACCGAGAAAUUGGUGUCUACGAUGAUAAAUAAUCUAAAUUUGGCCAAGGAAGGCGCUAUCGCUAACAAUAACAUCGAUCUUGAGAAAGCUUAUUCGAGCAAGAUAUUUAAUUACAGAUACAAUCCCAUAGACACUACAGCUUCGACGAGAUAUGAAAUUAACGAUGUAGUCAUACCUACAGAUAUGUACUCACUACACUUUUUCCUGGCCAUUGUUAUCGUGUUUUCCAAUCCAAUCAAUUGCGGGUAUUUCGAUCGGGACGAGCUGGAUUUGAUAUUUUCACUGAUCACCCUUCGAAAGAGUGCACAAGCGUUAUUGAUACGAAUGCUCAAGAAAAAGCACACGUGGCACAGAGUAAGCAAUAUAAAAUAUGAUGAAAUAUCCACCGACUUGAAACCCAUCUUCGACGAACUUGUAUCGCGAUCUAUUUUUAAAAGUAACACACAAGAGGAAGACAUAUCCGUUUUAUUGAACUUGCUGCAAGCUGAUGAGAUUCGUAAGCUUUGUCAAGAAUCAAAGAUCAACGCUAGUGGGAAGAAGAACGGUAUACAAUCGAUUCUGACGUUCUGUCGCAAAACAAAAUCAUUAUUUCCUGGAAUGGCGACUCCAGCCACUAAGUUACGCGCGUUGGUUAACAAACGCUUAGGGGAUUGUAUAUCAUUGAAUGUUAGAAUAAAAGAAUUGAUUGAUAGGAUAAUCGUACUAUUAGUGCCUAAUCGAGACCCCGCUGAAACAUUGGUGGACGUAUUUCUAACGUUAUUGAGAGUUGAGACGGAUCAGAUAAAAUUUCCAGAAAUAACCAUAAGUGACUUCCCUAUCUUCGCCAAUAAGGAACAUCUGUUAGAUUAUAUUGAGGCUAAAAAUACGUUAACUAAUUUGUUAAGUGCAAUCGAGGAAAAAAAAUGGGAGACUGUACGGAAUCUCGGAACUUUAGCCGCGCAACGUUUGCAGCUCGUUGUUGACGUAGAGUCGGAUUGUAUUCAAGAUUCCAGUCUGCCUCAUUACAUCAGGCAUUUUAUGCCAAGUUACUUGUGGCUCAAAAUUUUGUCCAAAAGCAUCGACGCGUUUAAAAAGACUAUAGAAACGAUACCACUGGCGAUAGAAUUUUUGCAAAUGUUAAUAAAUCAAAAUUGUCAUAUGAAAUACAGAAAGGGUCAAUGGUACAGUGAAUUAAUCAAAAUAGAAAUGCAUCACAGGAAAAAUUUUGACGCAAGCGUCGCAUUACUCUCGGACGCGAUUACGUAUGAGAACUUGACAGAAGUUGAUAGAUUAGACUUAAAGGACAGAGCUGAGAGAAUUGCUAAUAGAAAAUCCGGCAUUAGCAAAAGUACAAAAGACAGUGUUAAACUUAUGUUGGAUAACAUGUUCAGCAAUAUACAACUUACGCCUUCGAGCUCUAUUACAAUAAACGGAUCAUUAUGCGGAAGAAAUACUUCACAUGGGAAGAGCAAUUGGUGCAUCAGUAGCAACACAGAUCAACAAAUGUAUGGCUCGGUUGAAAGUCUGGCAUUAUAUUAUUACAAAGGCGAGGGAUACAUCAAGGGUAUGCAUUGCGAGGGUGCCUUUCCGAUCACCUUAUUCGCUACAUUAUUUUGGGAUGAAAUAUAUAAUAUGAACAUUCCCGGCGCUUGGGUAUCAUUGUAUCAGUAUGCGCCAUUGGAUUUAUAUUCAUCGGAAUUUUAUGAGAAUAGAAAGGAACAAAUUGAUAUGAAACUUCAAAUUAUUCGAAAAUUCGAUUCAGAAACGUUGAGCAGACAUUUAAAGCAUGAAUUCGAAAUGCACUGCGAAUACGCGUCUAUUAUUCAAGCCAAUAUUUUUAAGGACAGUAACUGUUUCCAGGAAGUAGCAUUUUGCUUAGGAGUGGAGGGUGUUGUUGGAAUAUGCAAACGACUCAUUCAUAAUUUCUCACUCUGGAGAGCUGGCUUUCCAGAUUUAAUUGUGUGGAAUGCAAAUACAAAACAGUACAAAAUUGUGGAGGUGAAGGGUCCGAAUGAUACACUGUCAACCAAACAAAAAUUAUGGUUGGAUUACUUGAAUCGGCUUGGACUGAAUACAGAAGUGUGCUAUUGUGAGUCAAAUACGAGUCAAGGACGAAAACGCAAGCAUGAUGAAAUUGUGAUAUAAACGCUUUUGUGAAGUGAUAUAUUACACUGUGUGUAAAAAAGAUAAAAAAUUAUAUUUGAUACUUUAAAUAUUGCAAUUUCUAUUUGUAGAUUUUUUUUAUUUACAAAUUGAAACUUGAGCUAUUUUUCAGCAAAUAUUUUUGAUAAUCAAGAGAUUUUUUUACAAUGAAGGAGUCUUUGCACUUACUGCACUUGUUUUGUGGCUGGCGUUUCCUCUAUAUUGAACUCGGCGACCGGUACAUUACGUUGCGCUACUUGCGGUGCGAACAUAGCAGCUGGAUAUACGAUCGCCGAUGUCCCGAUGACCAGGCAAGCGUCGCAUGUUUCCACAAUUUCAUCUGCAGUCUCAAAGAAUUAAUAUGAUAUAAAUAUAUUUCAAUUUUUUAUAUGUAUUUUAUAUGCAGUACUAAGAUGUGUUUUUAAUUAAAGGCUCUGUUUUAAUUUC
RNA transcript from Solenopsis invicta (red fire ant), 3082 nucleotides. It is a transcript of the gene named fanconi-associated nuclease 1, with no coding region annotated. NCBI's taxonomy places the organism in Eukaryota, Metazoa, Arthropoda, Insecta, Hymenoptera, Formicidae. The transcript has 10 exons. The record is from RefSeq and is a predicted model, not a curated record.